Molecule: ribosomal RNA, 466 nt
Filed under: uncultured bacterium
Lineage: Bacteria
Description: partial 16S ribosomal RNA
Rfam family: Bacterial small subunit ribosomal RNA
Source: RNAcentral
GAUGAACGCUGGCGGCGUGCUUAACACAUGCAAGUCGAACGGAAAGGCCCUUGCUUGCAGGGGUACUCGAGUGCCGAACGGGUGCGUAACACGUGGGUGAUCUGCCCUGCACUUCUGUAUAAGCCUUGGAAACUGGGUCUAAUACCGGAUAGGACCAUCGUUUAGUGUCGGUGGUGGAAAGUUUUUUCGGUGUGGGAUGAGCUCGCGGCCUAUCAGCUUGUUGGUGGGGUAAUGGUCUACCAAGGCGUCGACGGGUAGCCGGCCUGAGAGGGUGUACGGCCACAUUGGGACUAAGAUACGGCCCAGACUCGUACGGGAGGCAGCAGUGGGGAGUAUUGCACAAUGGGCGAAAGCCUGAUGCAGCGACGCCGCGUGGGGGAUGACGGCCUUCGGGUUGUAAACUCCUUUCGUCAGAGACGAAGCGAAAGUGACGGUACCUGGAUAAGAAGCACCGGCUAACUACGUG